CUUCGUAUGUGAUGGCAAUGACUCAACAGAAAGAAAAAUUGCUGAUGCAAGAAAAAGAGUGUCUUGCCUCGUCCAGGCAAGAGGGCAUCAGACUUGGGACAGCUCACUCGAGGCAGGGAAAGAAAAGCGGGUCGCACGAUUGCAGGCACAGGGCUUCAUUCCCAUCACCUAGGCUGCAGUACAGGGGCAUGAUCUCGGCUCACUGCAACCUCCACCUCCUGGACUCAAGCAACCCUCCCAUUCCAGCCUCCCAGGUAGCAAGGACUACAGGCACACACCACCAUGCCAGGCUAAUUUUUGUUUGUUUGUUUUUGUUGAGACGGUGUUUCACCAUGUUGCCCAGGCUGGCCUCGAACUCCUGAGUUCAAGUGAUCUGCCCACCUUGGCCUCUCAAAGUGCUGGGAUUACAGGCACGAGCCACCACACUCAGCCUUCAUCAUCUAAUAAAAUCUAACCAAAUCC
Molecule: long non-coding RNA, 462 nt
Filed under: Homo sapiens (human)
Lineage: Eukaryota; Metazoa; Chordata; Mammalia; Primates; Hominidae
Description: non-protein coding lnc-ZMYND19-3:5
Source: RNAcentral